This 484-nucleotide ribosomal RNA is filed under the name uncultured bacterium. Its description in RNAcentral is "partial 16S ribosomal RNA". It matches the Rfam family "Bacterial small subunit ribosomal RNA", at positions 30 to 507 of the family's 1533-position model. The record is from RNAcentral.
AUUGAACGCUGGCGGCAGGCCUAACACAUGCAAGUCGAGCGGAUGAAGGGAGCUUGCUCCUGGAUUCAGCGGCGGACGGGAGAGUAAUGCCUAGGAAUCUGCCUGGUAGUGGGGGAUAACGUCCGGAAACGGGCGCUAAUACCGCAUACGUCCUGAGGGAGAAAGUGGGGGAUCUUCGGACCUCACGCCAUCAGAUGAGCCUAGGUCGGAUUAGCUAGUUGGUGGGGUAAAGGCCUACCAAGGCGACGAUCCGUAACUGGUCUGAGAGGAUGAUCAGUCACACUGGAACUGAGACACGGUCCAGACUCCUACGGGAGGCAGCAGUGGGGAAUAUUGGACAAUGGGCGAAAGCCUGAUCCAGCCAUGCCGCGUGUGUGAAGAAGGUCUUCGGAUUGUAAAGCACUUUAAGUUGGGAAGAAGGGCAGUAAGUUAAUACCUUGCUGUUUUGACGUUACCAACAGAAUAAGCACCGGCUAACUUCGUG